AUUGAACGCUGGCGGCAUGCCUUACACAUGCAAGUCGAACGGCAGCACGGGAGCAAUCCUGGUGGCGAGUGGCGAACGGGUGAGUAAAGUAUCGGAACGUGCCCAGUGGUGGGGGAUAACGUAGCGAAAGUUACGCUAAUACCGCAUACGAUCUAUGGAUGAAAGCGGGGGAUCGCAAGACCUCGCGCGAUUGGAGCGGCCGAUAUCAGAUUAGGUAGUUGGUGGGGUAAAGGCCCACCAAGCCGACGAUCUGUAGCUGGUCUGAGAGGACGACCAGCCGCACUGGGACUGAGACACGGCCCAGACUCCUACGGGAGGCAGCAGUGGGGAAUUUUGGACAAUGGGCGCAAGCCUGAUCCAGCCAUGCCGCGUGCAGGAUGAAGGCCUUCGGGUUGUAAACUGCUUUUGUACGGAACGAAAAGGUUUGACUUAAUACGUUGGACUCAUGACGGUACCGUAAGAAUAAGCACCGGCUAACUACGUGCCAGCCGCCGCCGUAA
RNAcentral lists this ribosomal RNA (500 nucleotides) under uncultured bacterium. Its description in RNAcentral is "partial 16S ribosomal RNA". It matches the Rfam family "Bacterial small subunit ribosomal RNA", at positions 30 to 523 of the family's 1533-position model. The record is from RNAcentral.